GUCUACAGGUGUCUCGGUUUUGCGCAGGACAGAACUUUAUUUAGCCAAAUGGAAACACUGGAUAAAAGUAGCCUACCAAAGUCUUCUAAAGAGGACAAGGAUCCGCAAAACAAAAAGAGAAUUUCAGAAUAUUUCUGUCACCUGCUGUUGCUGAUCUACUGGCCAAACACUUCAAAAGCUGGAUUAUUGCAACAAGAAGAUGGUAUUUGCAAAUUGAAGAUUACUUAAACAAGGUAUAUUUUACCUUUUACAACAGGUUAUAUUCAACACAUUUGGAUGAAAAUAUAUGGAAAUAAAAGCUGUAAUUCUGGUUUUCCUUUUGAUUUCUAACUUAAAUGUCAGUUUUUGAGGGGCAAAACUUUACUUUUGGAAGGAAAGUAGCCUACCAAAGUGUUCAGAGGAAAAGGAACCAUAAAAUAAAAGAAGUGAGUGAAGGACAGGGCUCACAGCAUCAGCUCCUCCUCAUACUCAUCCUGUUUAAGGCUUUGGCUUGUGUUUAUAUAGGAGCUCUGUGCCGCAAUUUCCACUCAAAACUGUGAUUAAAAAACGUAUAAACUUUAUAUGAUUGUGUUAUACU
This is a long non-coding RNA of Silurus meridionalis, 577 nucleotides long. RefSeq lists it as uncharacterized. Lineage: Eukaryota; Metazoa; Chordata; Actinopteri; Siluriformes; Siluridae. The record is from RefSeq and is a predicted model, not a curated record. The transcript has 3 exons.